AGGAUCAUUAUUGAAUGAACUUGGCGUGGUUGUUGCUGGCCCUCUCGGGGGCAUGUGCACACCCGCCAUCUCCAUCUCUCCACCUGUGCACCUCUUGUAGACCUGGAAUAGACUUUCCGAGGCAACUCGGAGGAAUGCUGUCGCUUUGUGUCAGCUUUCUUUGCACCUCCAAGCCUACGUUUUUCAUAUACCCGUAGUAUGUAACAGAAUGUAUCAUUUGGGCCUCAGUGCCUAAAAAUCAUAUACAACUUUCAGCAACGGAUCUCUUGGCUCUCGCAUCGAUGAAGAACGCAGCGAAAUGCGAUAAGUAAUGUGAAUUGCAGAAUUCAGUGAAUCAUCGAAUCUUUGAACGCACCUUGCGCUCCUUGGUAUUCCGAGGAGCAUGCCUGUUUGAGUGUCAUUUAAUUCUCAACCUUAUUAGCUUUCGCUGAUAAUGGCUUGGAUGUGGGGGACUCUCUUUUGCUGGCUUCUUUCACAGAGGUGUCAGCUCCCCUGAAAUGCAUUAGCUGGUGCCCCGCGUGGACCGUCUAUUUGGUGUGAUAAUUAUCUACGCCGUGGAUGUCUGCAAUUGGUUUUGGCACUGCUUCUAACUGUCUGUUCAUUUGGACAAUACAUGACAAUUUGACCUCAAA
This 632-nucleotide ribosomal RNA is filed under the name Hymenogaster griseus. Its description in RNAcentral is "eukaryotic LSU rRNA". The stretch from base 247 to 400 matches the Rfam family "5.8S ribosomal RNA". The record is from RNAcentral. Lineage: Eukaryota; Fungi; Basidiomycota; Agaricomycetes; Agaricales; Hymenogastraceae.